Molecule: RNA transcript, 1870 nt
Organism: Zea mays
Lineage: Eukaryota; Viridiplantae; Streptophyta; Magnoliopsida; Poales; Poaceae
Gene: not1
Gene name: neighbor of tga1
Exons: 4
Source: RefSeq, marked validated
GUUGCCUGCUGCUGCCUUGCUAUCUAUCUAUACACCGCCCGCACCUUCCAUUCCUCCUCCUCCGAAGCAGCAGGCAGCAGCUGCAUCGCACCUCACACCUCUCGUGUCCAUCGAUCCAGCCGCCCGCCGCAGCUGCAGCUCUCACUGUUGCUGUGCCACCUCCUCGUCGCCUGUAGUGUCGACAGAGAAACGCCCGCUGAAUGAGAGGGAAGGAACGGAAGCUGCAGCGGGCGCGCGAGUGCAAGGACUAGGACUAGCGGUUGCAACGUCGGCGCGCGCGCGCGUGCGGCGUACGUCGGGCAUGGAUUGGGAUCUCAAGGCGGUGGGCGCGUGGGACCUCGCGGAGCUGGAGCAGGACCACGCGGCCGCCACGGCAGCAGCGGGGCCGUCCGAGGGCCACGCCACCGAUACUGCCGCGGCGGGCACGGGCACGGGGACGGGGACGGAGAGCCGCCCGCCCGGAGCAGGGGCACCCGCCGAGUGCUCUGUGGACUUGAAGCUGGGCGGGAUGGGCGAGUGCGAGCUCGGCGCGGGCGCGGCGACGGCCUGCAGGGAGAGGGAGGCCGCGGCGGGGGCGACGAAGCGGCCGCGCCCCGCCGGGCAGCAGCAGCAGCAGUGCCCGUCGUGCGCGGUGGAUGGGUGCAGAGCGGACCUGAGCAAGUGCCGCGACUACCACCGGCGGCACAAGGUGUGCGAGGCGCACUCCAAGACCCCCGUCGUCGUCGUGGCCGGCCGCGAGAUGCGCUUCUGCCAGCAGUGCAGCAGAUUCCAUUUACUUGCGGAGUUCGACGCCGACAAGCGCAGCUGCAGAAAGCGUCUGGACGGCCAUAAUCGCCGCCGCAGGAAGCCACAGCCAGACACCAUGGCUUCUGCUAGCUCUAUCACAAGCCAGCAAGGCACACGAUUCUCACCAUUUGCGCCUCCAAGACUGGAGGCGAGCUGGCCGGGGGUGAUGAAAACCGAGGAGAGUCCAUAUCGCAUCACUCACCAAAUCCAUCUGGGCUCCAGCAGCAGCAGCAGGCAGCAGCAUUUCGUGGGAGCCGCCACGUCUGCCUACGCCAAAGAAGGCCCGCGCUUCCCUUUCCUGCAGGAGGGCGAGAUAAGCUUCGCCACCGGCGUGGUGUUGGAGCCGCCGGCGGCGGCUCCAGCGUGCCAGCCGCUCCUCAAGUCGGGAGCACCACCACCCGAGAGCAGCAGCGCCGGCGGCGGGAAGAUGUUCUCCGAUCAGGGGCUGACUCGCGUGCUCGACUCGGACUGUGCUCUCUCUCUUCUGUCAGCGCCGGCCAACUACUCCGGCAUCGACGUCAGCAGGAUGGUCCGCCCGACUGAACACGUCCCCAUGGCCCAGCAGCUCGUGGUCUCGGGCCUGCAGUUCGGCAGCGCGUCGUGGUUCCCGCGCCCCCAGGCUUCCACGGGCGGCUCCUUCGUCUCAUCCUGCCCCGCCGUGCAGGUGGAGGGCGAGCAGCAGCUGAACGCCGUGCUGGGCCCCAACGACAGCGAGGUGAGCAUGAACUACGGCGGGAUGUUCCACGUCGGCGGCGGCAGCGGCGGCGGCGAGGGCUCCUCGGACGGCGGCACCUCGUCGUCGAUGCCCUUCUCGUGGCAGUAGUCGUCGUCACUUGUCAGCAGCCGCUGCGUUCUCUCAUCUUUCGCGCUUCAGACGAUCUGGUAGCCAGGGAGUUCUUUACCCAAGCAUCUGGUGGCAAUCUAGUCUUAGGAUUGGUCACAACUAGGUGUCAGAAAUUGUCUUUUUUUCAGAGUUUUUGGAUGUGUGUGUCUUUUGAUACAAAGGCCGAGAGAUUGUUUUCAAGAGAGUUGUAAUCACUUGAUGUAAAUUUCUUGAAUUUAAUAAAACUAGCAUAUAGCUUGU